AUUGAACGCUGGCGGCAUGCCUUACACAUGCAAGUCGAACGGCAGCACGGGAGCAAUCCUGGUGGCGAGUGGCGAACGGGUGAGUAAUAUAUCGGAACGUGCCCGGUCGUGGGGAUAACGUAGCGAAAGCUACGCUAAUACCGCAUACGAUCUACGGAUGAAAGCGGGGGAUCGCAAGACCUCGCGCGAUUGGAGCGGCCGAUAUCAGAUUAGGUAGUUGGUGAGGUAAAGGCUCACCAAGCCGACGAUCUGUAGCUGGUCUGAGAGGACGACCAGCCACACUGGGACUGAGACACGGUCCAGACUCCUACGGGAGGCAGCAGUGGGGAAUUUUGGACAAUGGGCGCAAGCCUGAUCCAGCAAUGCCGCGUGCAGGAUGAAGGCCUUCGGAUUGUAACUAGCUUUGUUGUCGGAACGGAAACGGU
Molecule: ribosomal RNA, 425 nt
Filed under: uncultured bacterium
Lineage: Bacteria
Description: bacterial SSU rRNA
Rfam family: Bacterial small subunit ribosomal RNA
Source: RNAcentral